This 519-nucleotide ribosomal RNA is filed under the name uncultured bacterium. Its description in RNAcentral is "bacterial SSU rRNA". It matches the Rfam family "Bacterial small subunit ribosomal RNA", at positions 26 to 518 of the family's 1533-position model. The record is from RNAcentral.
AGGACGAACGCUGGCGGCGUGCCUAAUACAUGCAAGUCGAACGGUCUUUCUAUGGAAGCUUGCUUCCACUGAAAAGAUAGUGGCGAACGGGUGAGUAACACGUGGGUAACCUGCCCAUAAGAGGGGGGAUAACAUCCGGAAACGGGUGCUAAUACCGCAUAGUUUUCUUGAUCGCAUGAUCGGGAAAGGAAAGACGGCCUUUGUGCUGUCGCUUAUGGAUGGACCCGCGGCGUAUUAGUUAGUUGGUGAGGUAACGGCUCACCAAGACGAUGAUACGUAGCCGACCUGAGAGGUGAUCGGCCACAUUGGGACUGAGACACGGCCCAAACUCCUACGGGAGGCAGCAGUAGGGAAUCUUCCGCAAUGGACGAAAGUCUGACGGAGCAACGCCGCGUGAGUGAAGAAAGGUUUUCGGAUCGUAAAACUCUGUUGUCAGAGAAGAACAAGUUGGAGAGUAACUGCUCCAGCCUUGACGGUAUCUGACCAGAAAGCCACGGCUAACUACGUGCCAGCAGCCGC